This is a long non-coding RNA of Seriola aureovittata, 840 nucleotides long. RefSeq lists it as uncharacterized. The transcript is spliced from 6 exons. Lineage: Eukaryota; Metazoa; Chordata; Actinopteri; Carangiformes; Carangidae. The record is from RefSeq and is a predicted model, not a curated record.
GCAGCGCGCCAGAAACCACUUCAGCUUCCGCCAUGAUGGAACAAAACGCAGGUCGAACUCGCCUUCGAAUCAUUUGUAGCUGAAGGAGCUGGAGGUUUGUUGGCGCCAAAAAUCCGCUGCUGAUUUUAACGGUUUACACUGUACAUCGAACACCGCAGAGAAUGACCAGCGCAGACAAGAUGGAUGACAGGACUGAGUCCUCAAGAGCGAGAAGCAGAAAUGCGUCGGCUCCACCGAACCUGGGGAGAGGGUGAACGUCUCUGUGGCGGCGCUGUCGUGUCCAUCAGAGAUGAAUCAACAGGAUCGUGAUCGCUCGUGACGGUCAAAGCCUGUGAACCUGGCUGGCUGUGAAAAAACAUCUGGGGGUCUGAUCUGGUUCUGGUGGGGCUUUUUCUUUCAUCAUGGCCAAGUCCACAGAAACCCUGAUGACUUUUGAAGACGUCAUAUAGGGUGACGGUCUCCACUGGGCGUGCUCCUGUUGGGUCGAAGAAAGCAUCAUCCGUGAUGAUGGUAAUAGUCAGCAGGUGGAGAGACGAGGAGCUGCAGUGCAUCCGUUUCUCAACUCGAGAGGAUUUUUUCCACAUUGCAGUAUUAAAGUUUUUUUUUUUUUUUUUUUAAUUUCUAAAGAUCCAACUGUUAACUGAUGUUGAAUUAUACUUUUAUUUUAUUGUAUUUCAAUCGUAUUUUGUCUGGAAUAGACGAGGUAUAAAUUGUUUCCUUGAGAUAAUGGGAUUGUUCUGGAUUUUUUUUUUUUCUCAACACUGACUAUAAAUGUAAUGAACUCGCAUUUGGUUUCAACAAACUUUUUAAAAAAAAUAAUAAAUUUGUGAAUGAACUUAA